This 294-nucleotide ribosomal RNA is filed under the name uncultured bacterium. RNAcentral's name for it is "partial 16S ribosomal RNA". It matches the Rfam family "Bacterial small subunit ribosomal RNA", at positions 335 to 627 of the family's 1533-position model. The record is from RNAcentral.
UACCUACGGGGCGCAGCAGUGAGGAAUAUUGGUCAAUGGACGAGAUUCUUAACCAGCCAAUUAUCUUUAAUGAUUACUUCCCUAUGGGUUGUAAACUUCUUUUAUAUGGGAAUAAAGUUUUCCACGUGUGGAAUUUUGUAUGUACCAUAUGAAUAAGGAUCGGCUAACUCCGUGCCAGCAGCCGCGGUAAUACGGAGGAUCCGAGCGUUAUCCGGAUUUAUUGGGUUUAAAGGGAGCGUAGGUGGAUUGUUAAGUCAGUUGUGAAAGUUUGCGGCUCGGCCGUAAAAUUGCAGU